GGGGUUGUGGCUCAGUGGUAGAGUGCUUGCCUAGCAUGCAUGAGGCACUGGGUUCAAUCCUCAGCACCA
This is a non-coding RNA of Ictidomys tridecemlineatus (thirteen-lined ground squirrel), 69 nucleotides long. NCBI's taxonomy places the organism in Eukaryota, Metazoa, Chordata, Mammalia, Rodentia, Sciuridae. The record is from Rfam.